UGGGGAAUAUUGGACAAUGGGCGCAAGCCUGAUCCAGCAAUGCCGCGUGAGUGAUGAAGGCCUUAGGGUUGUAAAGCUCUUUCGCACGCGACGAUGAUGACGGUAGCGUGAGAAGAAGCCCCGGCUAACUUCGUGCCAGCAGCCGCGGUAAUACGAAGGGGGCUAGCGUUGUUCGGAAUUACUGGGCGUAAAGGGCGCGUAGGCGGCCUGUUUAGUCAGAAGUGAAAGCCCCGGGCUCAACCUGGGAAUAGCUUUUGAUACUGGCAGGCUUGAGUUCCGGAGAGGAUGGUGGAAUUCCCAGUGUAGAGGUGAAAUUCGUAGAUAUUGGGAAGAACACCGGUGGCGAAGGCGGCCAUCUGGACGGACACUGACGCUGAGGCGCAAGCGUGGGGAGCAAACAGGAUUAAAUACCCUGGUAGUNCACGCCGUAAAACGAUGAGUGCUAGACGCUGGGGGCUUGCCUUUCGGUGUCGCAGCC
Molecule: ribosomal RNA, 478 nt
Filed under: uncultured bacterium
Lineage: Bacteria
Description: partial 16S ribosomal RNA
Rfam family: Bacterial small subunit ribosomal RNA
Source: RNAcentral